UAUAUGUUUAGUUUGUGGGGGGAGGGACGUCUUUACCCAAAAUCUCCUGCAGGAAUCUUCAUUUCACAUUUCAGAUACCUGCCAGAGCCAUUGCAUGAAGCUAUUUCCAAAUCAUCAAUCCUUCCUCAGGUGGCCCUCAACCGUCUGAAGACCAGACCGAGUUAAG
This is a long non-coding RNA of Paramisgurnus dabryanus, 166 nucleotides long. RefSeq lists it as uncharacterized. The record is from RefSeq and is a predicted model, not a curated record. NCBI's taxonomy places the organism in Eukaryota, Metazoa, Chordata, Actinopteri, Cypriniformes, Cobitidae.